This 480-nucleotide ribosomal RNA is filed under the name uncultured bacterium. RNAcentral describes it as "partial 16S ribosomal RNA". It matches the Rfam family "Bacterial small subunit ribosomal RNA", at positions 30 to 505 of the family's 1533-position model. The record is from RNAcentral.
AUUGAACGCUGGCGGCAUGCCUUACACAUGCAAGUCGAACGGUAACGGGCCUUCGGGUGCCGACGAGUGGCGAACGGGUGAGUAAUACAUCGGAACGUGCCCGAUCGUGGGGGAUAACGAGGCGAAAGCUUUGCUAAUACCGCAUACGAUCUACGGAUGAAAGCAGGGGACCGCAAGGCCUUGCGCGGACGGAGCGGCCGAUGGCAGAUUAGGUAGUUGGUGGGAUAAAAGCUUACCAAGCCGACGAUCUGUAGCUGGUCUGAGAGGAUGAUCAGCCACACUGGGACUGAGACACGGCCCAGACUCCUACGGGAGGCAGCAGUGGGGAAUUGUGGACAAUGGGCGCAAGCCUGAUCCAGCCAUGCCGCGUGCAGGAUGAAGGCCUUCGGGUUGUAAACUGCUUUUGUACGGAACGAAAAGCCUUCUUUUAAUACAGGAGGGUCAUGACGGUACCGUAAGAAUAAGCACCGGCUAACUACG